AUUGAACGCUGGCGGCAGGCCUAACACAUGCAAGUCGAGCGGAUGAAGGGAGCUUGCUCCUGGAUUCAGCGGCGGACGGGUGAGUAAUGCCUAGGAAUCUGCCUGGUAGUGGGGGAUAACGUCCGGAAACGGGCGCUAAUACCGCAUACGUCCUGAGGGAGAAAGUGGGGGAUCUUCGUACCUCACGCUAUCAGAUGAGCCUAGGUCGGAUUAGCUAGUUGGUGGGGUAAAGGCCUACCAAGGCGACGAUCCGUAACUGGUCUGAGAGGAUGAUCAGUCACACUGGAACUGAGACACGGUCCAGACUCCUAGGGGAGGCAGCAGUGGGGAAUAUUGGACAAUGGGCGAAAGCCUGAUCCAGCAAUGCCGCGUGUGUGAAGAAGGUCUUCGGAUUGUAAAGCACUUUAAGUUGGGAGGAAGGGCAGUAAGUUAAUACCUUGCUGUUUUGACGUUACCAACAGAAUAAGCACCGGCUAACUUCGUG
RNAcentral lists this ribosomal RNA (484 nucleotides) under uncultured bacterium. RNAcentral's name for it is "partial 16S ribosomal RNA". It matches the Rfam family "Bacterial small subunit ribosomal RNA", at positions 30 to 507 of the family's 1533-position model. The record is from RNAcentral.